CAGUGAUCGCAUGACACAUGCCUCCCUAAAUGUUGGCUGCCGGGGGGAGGGAAGCGUGGUUGCUGUACGAAUGGACCCUUCCACAACGUCAACACUAAAACAACCAGCGUGCAGCAGUUUAUGUGAGACUUCAUACCAGCAACAACGAAACGGUGUUAUUUGGAGGCUGUGCGCAGGGGAACUCGUUACUGAUUCUCAGUGGACAAUGCCCCGCGUACGGGUGUUGGAUCGAUCCGGACACGGACUCAACUUUGUCGACGUGGAUGGGAGGUGGUUUCCCGGGGACGUGGACGAGCAGCUCAUCCGGGGAGUUCCAGAUAUGGAAAUCCGGGAUGAUGACGUCAUAAUCUGUGGCUGGAUGCGUUCAGGGACGCACUGGACAUUUGAAAUGACUAACAUGAUCCUCAAUGGGAGUGCCCAGACGGUAGAAAUGCCCAAGCAGGAUCAGAUGAUCGAGAGAAUAUCCCUGGACCAGCAGAGGGCUCUUCUCUCCCCUCGCGUCCUCAAUACGCAUCUUCGAUUCCACCAUCUCCCUCUCAGUGCGCGAAAAAAGAAAACCAAAAUCAUCUUACUGCUGAGAAACCCAAGAGAUUGUGCUGUGUCGUGGUUCAACUUCCAGAAGACGAUUGAAUAUUUUGAUUAUGACGGCAGCUGGGAGGAUUGGUUGCAGCUAUUCUUGGAGGGGAAGAUGGACUGGGGUUCCUGGUUUGAUUACGUCAGAGAUUGGGAGAGAGUCGUUGACGAAAACCCUGACCAUCCCAUAUUUCUCCUUCACUAUGAAGAACAUAAAGCUGAUCCAGUUGAAGCUGUGGAGCGGUUGUCCAGAUUCCUUGACUGCCCGGUGACCAGUGACCUGUCCCGGAAAAUAGCAGACGAGUGCAGCUUUGACAAGAUGAAGGACAACAAGCGAAACUUUGCCUGGACAUCACAGAGUGGCGUGCACGUCCAUUACCGCAAAGGCAAAGUUGGAGAUUGGAAAAAUUGGUUCACAGUGCGGCAGUGUGAAGAGUUUGACAAAGUGUAUCGACAGAAGAUGGCGGGAUCUCGUUUUGAAAGGCUUUGGUCAUCAUGAGUCAAGUGACAGCGGGGACGGGAGUGGUCCAUUCGGCUAAGGCUCCGCUAUUCCCAGAAGCGUGCAGGACUCCUGUGAUCGAUAGUUCAUUCUCUCACUGUAAAGCCAUCAUUCCUUGUAUGACACGUUACUUUAAUACAGGGAGUGGGAAAGUGUAUUUUAUUAUUCAACCCUCAUUCCAGCAGUCUUCGAAAAUGUGAUCGAAAAGAACAACAUGCUAAGUAAAGUACACUGGUAAAUGUGCCAUUAAAAAUCCUUUCGAAUUGCUUGCCACAGUUGUUUUCCCCAAAAUAUUGUUCCCUGAAUAUCCCUAUAAAAAAUGAGAUUUUGGUCCAAUAUAAAUAGCCAUUGACCAUAAACAGUCUGCCUUAAUAGCCAUAGGAAUAUGAUAUAGGACAUAUCUAACACCGUUUCUAACCCUUACUCGUAAAGAAAGAUUUUGCAAACUAUGUCAAUUUGGCCUAAUAGAAGACCAGUUUCAUUUCCUGCAAGUGUGCCCUGCAUAUACUCACCUACGCCAUCUCUAUAUUCCUUCAAAAUAUUAUUUACUCCCAAAUGUACAUAAGUUUAAUAUGUUUUUAUCUACACCUAACACAAAGCUCAUUAUUAAUAUCGACCCGUGAAGAUUCCGGGUCAGAAUAGGUCUUCAGCAACCCAUGCUUGCCGUAAAAGGUGACUAUGCUUGUCGUAAAAGGCGACUAACGGGAUCUGGUGGUCAGGCUCGCUGAUUUGGU
This 1806-nucleotide unclassified non-coding RNA is filed under the name Haliotis rufescens (red abalone). RNAcentral describes it as "sulfotransferase 1C2-like, transcript variant X4". The record is from RNAcentral. Lineage: Eukaryota; Metazoa; Mollusca; Gastropoda; Lepetellida; Haliotidae.